CGGCACCCUGCUGAGUCUGGCUUGUCAGUGGUCGGCUGUGUCACCUCCCUUCCUCCCUCCCUAUGGCAUCCCUUUCCUGAUAGCCUUCCCCUUUACGUCAAUCCUCUAUAGCCUUCCCAUUGAUUUUCUAACCCUUUUAUCACUUCGGUUUCUCCGUUUGUGAUUCAUGGGAGGUUCGGGAAGGUGUGAAUAACUGUUUAUCUUGUUCCGAAACGCUUCAGUCGGUUUCGAAGCUUCAAUUGAAACAAGUACUGCAUCUUUUUCAUUUUCUCUUUUUUUUUCCUUCUUUUUUUUUGUACAUGAGGUUAGUUUCCCCUUCCGUGAUUAUGGGUGAGUCAUGAAUAAAAGAAAAAGAUAUACGUAUGAGGUUAAAAAAAAUGUUAUAGGGAAACUAAUGUAUGUAAACUCUUUAAAAAAAAAACUUUCUUAGCAUACUUGAGCUCAUUAUUUCAAACAUAUUAUAUUAGCUAGUUACUGAAUUUUCAAGCUUUAUAUACAGGCACAAUUUUACCAUAGAAGGAAUCCGUAUAUUCAAGUUAAAAGCAAUAAGUUAAAUUAUUACGAAUAUAAGUGAUUAAUCCGAAGCGAAUCAGUGAAGGAAUAAUCGCCGACUCCUUCCCGAGAGGCGAGUGUAGCGUUGACCAGUGACCGCAUUUUGACCAGUGCUCGUAUUUUUCAUCGUUUACCGCCACAUCUCACGGGUCUCCACCUUCUUCUCCGUGCCAGGGUCGCCGCGCCAAGGUCGAGAAAUGGAGACUGCUCAACAACGGACAAAACAGUAGUAGGUAAGAAAAGAACCUUGCCCUAAUGUUUAUCCUUGCUAUUCUGGUCUUUUGUACUAAUCCCUCUAUAUAUAAUUUUCCCUGUCAACAUUUUUCCAUCAGUAGCAUCAGGUGACCUCCAUGUUUCUUUUGUUUAUAUUAAUUUUCAUGGAUUUUUCACCUCUGACAUAUUUUCU
Eriocheir sinensis (Chinese mitten crab) is the source of this 958-nucleotide long non-coding RNA. RefSeq lists it as uncharacterized. The transcript has 3 exons. Lineage: Eukaryota; Metazoa; Arthropoda; Malacostraca; Decapoda; Varunidae. The record is from RefSeq and is a predicted model, not a curated record.